Lontra canadensis (Northern American river otter) is the source of this 246-nucleotide long non-coding RNA. RefSeq lists it as uncharacterized. The transcript is spliced from 2 exons. The record is from RefSeq and is a predicted model, not a curated record. Lineage: Eukaryota; Metazoa; Chordata; Mammalia; Carnivora; Mustelidae.
AGUGGGUAAUGGAAGAAACAUAAAGACCACGUAUAGAAAAGCCCACAGCUAACCUAAAAUAAAAACCAAAGAUGCUACACUCACCACUUUUAUUCAACACGGUAUUGGAAGUCUAGCCAGAGCACUCAGAGAAAAAAUGAAAACUUCCAAUAAGAAAGGAAGAAAAGUAAAAUGGUCUCUACUUACAGAUGACACGAUGUUAUAUACAUAUGGAAAACCCUAAAGACUUCACCAAAAAAAAAAAAA